RNAcentral lists this transfer RNA (76 nucleotides) under Dehalococcoidia bacterium CG2_30_46_19. RNAcentral's name for it is "tRNA-Val". It matches the Rfam family "tRNA". Rfam says of the family: Transfer RNA (tRNA) molecules are approximately 80 nucleotides in length. Their secondary structure includes four short double-helical elements and three loops (D, anti-codon, and T loops). Further hydrogen bonds mediate the characteristic L-shaped molecular structure. tRNAs have two regions of fundamental functional importance: the anti-codon, which is responsible for specific mRNA codon recognition, and the 3' end, to which the tRNAs corresponding amino acid is attached (by aminoacyl-tRNA synthetases). tRNAs cope with the degeneracy of the genetic code in two manners: having more than one tRNA (with a specific anti-codon) for a particular amino acid; and 'wobble' base-pairing, i.e. permitting non-standard base-pairing at the 3rd anti-codon position. Lineage: Bacteria; Bacillati; Chloroflexota; Dehalococcoidia. RNAcentral also lists the same sequence under 4 other names. The record is from RNAcentral.
GGGCGGUUAGCUCAGUGGUUAGAGCGCUGCGUUGACAUCGCAGAGGUCACUGGUUCAAGUCCAGUAUCGCCCACCA